GUGGGGGAUAUUGCACAAUGGGGGAAACCCUGAUGCAGCGACGCCGCGUGCAGGAAGACGGCCCUCCGGGUUGUAAACUGCUUUUGUACGGGAAUAAACCUCGCUACGUGUAGCGAGCUGAAUGUACCGUAAGAAUAAGGAUCGGCUAACUCCGUGCCAGCAGCCGCGGUAAUACGGAGGAUCCAAGCGUUAUCCGGAUUUAGUGGGUUUAAAGGGUGCGUAGGCGGCCUGUUAAGUCAGGGGUGAAAGACGGUGGCUCAACCAUCGCAGUGCCCUUGAUACUGAUGGGCUUGAAUAGACUAGAGGUAGGCGGAAUGUGACAAGUAGCGGUGAAAUGCAUAGAUAUGUCACAGAACACCGAUUGCGAAGGCAGCUUACUAUGGUCUUAUUGACGCUGAGGCACGAAAGCGUGGGGAUCGAACAGGAUUAGAUACCCCAGUAGUCC
Molecule: ribosomal RNA, 445 nt
Filed under: uncultured bacterium
Lineage: Bacteria
Description: partial 16S ribosomal RNA
Rfam family: Bacterial small subunit ribosomal RNA
Source: RNAcentral